RNAcentral lists this ribosomal RNA (483 nucleotides) under uncultured bacterium. RNAcentral describes it as "bacterial SSU rRNA". It matches the Rfam family "Bacterial small subunit ribosomal RNA", at positions 8 to 507 of the family's 1533-position model. The record is from RNAcentral.
AGAGUUUGAUCCUGGCUCAGAUUGAACGCUGGCGGCAUGCCUUACACAUGCAAGUCGAACGGCAGCACGGGAGCAAUCCGUGGUGGCGAGUGGCGAACGGGUGAGUAAUGUAUAGAUAACCUGCCCUUAAGAAAGGAAUAACAGUUGGAAACGACUGCUAAUGCCCUAUAUGCCUUUAAUACAUAAGUAUGCAAGGGAAACGCUUUUAGUGCUUAAGGAUGGGUCUGUAUGGUAUCAGCUUGUUGGUGAGGUAAUGGCUCACCAAGGCUAUGACGCCUAACUGGUUUGAGAGGAUGAUCAGUCACACUGGAACUGAGACACGGUCCAGACUCCUACGGGAGGCAGCAGUGGGGAAUAUUGCACAAUGGACGAAAGUCUGAUGCAGCAACGCCGCGUGGAGGAUGACACAUUUCGGUGCGUAAACUCCUUUUAUAUAGGAAGAUAAUGACGGUACUAUACGAAUAAGCACCGGCUAACUCCGUG